Long non-coding RNA from Solanum tuberosum (potato), 1528 nucleotides. RefSeq lists it as uncharacterized. The record is from RefSeq and is a predicted model, not a curated record. Lineage: Eukaryota; Viridiplantae; Streptophyta; Magnoliopsida; Solanales; Solanaceae. The transcript is spliced from 2 exons.
CUUAGCUCAGUUGGUAGAGCGGAGGACUGUAGUAUGGUGUAAACCUUUCAGAUAUCCUUAGGUCGCUGGUUCGAAUCCGGCAGGUCGGAUUUUUUCUUUUGCCAUUUUUUUUUACUUGUAAGGAACUUACCAUAUAAUAUACUCCUACUCUUGCAAGUGGUACAUGAAAAGAGUUUACUACCAUUUUCUUUGGUAAUAGCAGCUUAUAAUAUAUAUUUUUGUGUCAGUACAGUGAGAUUCCCUGUAAUCUCCAAUUUCUUAAUCCAGACAGAGGCUUAAGAUUUCAGUAAAAAAUCAAGACUCACAAUAACUGACUUCUCUAAAAACCAAUAUAAGAGAACAAGCACUCAACAGUCACAAAUGUCUUGAUAUACCAACCGUAUAACAAGUUUCGAGAAUAUAUACUACACAUGAUAUUUGAGGAAGAGAAAAAGGGGCACCAGGGUGGUGGAGGGGAGUGAGAGUUUAUAAAGACAAACAGGCAGCAAGAACUUUAAAACGGAUACGUAGGCAUGAAAGUGCAGAAAGAAUGCCUAGAGAACAAGUAGUGGUGCAAAAGGAAAAACACGAGAGCAAAUAACUAGAAGGAUGCAAUGCACAAAGAUCAUGAUAAUAUGGGCUUCUAUGAAGCAGAAGUAGUUGAAGAAAUAAUGUACACUUAAGUCCAAAAUGUAGAUAAAGUCACCAAACAUCUUAUAAACAACUUUAAAUGUUUAUCCCUGAACUUCAUAUUUUUAAAAAUUGUAGAUGGAAGACGAAAUUCAUUCUUGGAACUCACAAACUAAGAUCACCUUAUAAUGUUAUCAAGACUCCAAGCAUUAGAAUAAGUUCCCCUUCUUUUACCUUUUAUUGAUGAGUAAAUAAAAAAAUGCUCAUGCUCAUGCAAUAGGCAUUCUUGAUAAAUGAUAACACUGAUGGACAAUAUUCAGCAGUGCUUUGAGAGGGAAUUCAUUCUUGGAACAAAACAAGAUAGACAUUCUUUAAUGUUUUCAAAACUAUAGCAUUGGAAAGAACCAACAACAACCGACCUUAGCUCAGUUGGUAGAGCGGAGGACUGUAGUGGGGUGUAAACCUUUCAGAUAUCCUUAGGUCGCUGGUUCGAAUCCGGCAGGUCGGAUUGAUUCUUUUGCCAUGUUCUUUUUCUAUUUAUUUUUUUAAAUCAUUGUUUUAUUCUGGAGAAAAGAAGCUUGCCAUAUAAUGUACUCCCACUCUGACAACAGUAUUUAAUAUCAUUUCUUCAGCAAUAGCAACCUAUAUAAUUUUAUUGUUGUGACAGUAGUGUGAGAUUCCCUGCAAUCUCCAAUUUUAUAAUCCAGGCAGAAAACAAGCACUCAACUCUCACAAAUGUCUUGAAAUACCAAUCAUUUAUCAAAUUUCAAGAAUAUAUACAGACAUAUUAGAUUUGAUAAAGAUAGGGGAACCAGGGUGGUGGAGGGGAAGGAAAGAGUUAACAUAGACAAACAGACAACAGCUUGAAACCAAUACUAUGCAUGAAAAUGCACAAGGAAUACAUAGAGAUAAAGUAGUG